CAGCCGCCGCGGUAAUACGUAUGUCACAAGCGUUAUCCGGAUUUAUUGGGCGUAAAGCGCGUCUAGGCGGUUAAUUAAGUCUGAUGUGAAAAUGCGGAGCUCAACUCCGUAUUGCGUUGGAAACUGGUUAACUAGAGUACUGGAGAGGUAAGCGGAACUACAAGUGUAGAGGUGAAAUUCGUAGAUAUUUGUAGGAAUGCCGAUGGAGAAGCCAGCUUACUGGACAGAUACUGACGCUAAAGCGCGAAAGCGUGGGUAGCAAACAGGAUUAGAUACCCGCGUAGUCCCUGUCUCUUAUACA
This 301-nucleotide ribosomal RNA is filed under the name uncultured bacterium. RNAcentral describes it as "partial 16S ribosomal RNA". It matches the Rfam family "Bacterial small subunit ribosomal RNA", at positions 509 to 808 of the family's 1533-position model. The record is from RNAcentral.